CCCUUAGAUGUUCUGGGCUGCACGCGCGCUACACUGAUGCACUCAACGAGUUUACGACCUUGCCCGAGAGGAUUGGGUAAUCUUUUUAAAAUGCAUCGUGAUGGGGAUAGAUUAUUGCAAUUAUUAAUCUUCAACGAGGAAUUCCUAGUAAGCGCGAGUCAUCAGCUCGUGCUGAUUACGUCCCUGCCCUUUGUACACACCGCCCGUCGCUCCUACCGAUUGAGUGCUCAGGUGAAUAAUUCGGACUGCAGCAAUGUUCGGAUCCCGAACGUUGCAGCGGAAAGUUUAGUGAACCUUAUCACUUAGAGGAAGGAGAAGUCGUAACA
Molecule: ribosomal RNA, 326 nt
Filed under: uncultured eukaryote
Lineage: Eukaryota
Description: partial 18S ribosomal RNA
Rfam family: Eukaryotic small subunit ribosomal RNA
Source: RNAcentral